Long non-coding RNA from Thalassophryne amazonica, 158 nucleotides. RefSeq lists it as uncharacterized. NCBI's taxonomy places the organism in Eukaryota, Metazoa, Chordata, Actinopteri, Batrachoidiformes, Batrachoididae. The record is from RefSeq and is a predicted model, not a curated record. The transcript is spliced from 3 exons.
AAAUUCUGGAAAAAUCUGAACCCACCAUCACAACCCCCCCAUCCUCAACAACACUGUGGCUACUGUGGUCACUUUCUGGUUCCUGGAAUCCACCAUCUCCCAAGAUCUGAAGUGGACCUCCCACAUAGACCAUCAGGAAAAAGGCACAGCAGAGGGUG